This 253-nucleotide ribosomal RNA is filed under the name uncultured bacterium. RNAcentral describes it as "partial 16S ribosomal RNA". It matches the Rfam family "Bacterial small subunit ribosomal RNA", at positions 524 to 776 of the family's 1533-position model. The record is from RNAcentral.
GACGAAGGGUGCAAGCGUUAUCCGGAUUCACUGGGUUUAAAGGGUGCGUAGGCGGGCAGGUAAGUCCGUGGUGAAAUCUCCGAGCUUAACUCGGAAAUUGCCGUGGAUACUAUCUGUCUUGAAUGCUGUGGAGGUGAGCGGAAUAUGUCAUGUAGCGGUGAAAUGCUUAGAUAUGACAUAGAACACCAAUUGCGAAGGCAGCUCACUACACAGCGAUUGACGCUGAGGCACGAAAGCGUGGGGAUCAAACAGG